UGGUGGCGAUAGCGAAGAGGUCACACCCGUUCCCAUACCGAACACGGAAGUUAAGCUCUUCAGCGCCGAUGGUAGUUGGGGGUUUCCCCCUGUGAGAGUAGGACGCCGCCA
RNAcentral lists this ribosomal RNA (111 nucleotides) under Kitasatospora cinereorecta. Lineage: Bacteria; Bacillati; Actinomycetota; Actinomycetes; Kitasatosporales; Streptomycetaceae. RNAcentral also lists the same sequence under 4 other names. The record is from RNAcentral.